This 1431-nucleotide ribosomal RNA is filed under the name uncultured organism. Its description in RNAcentral is "16S ribosomal RNA". It matches the Rfam family "Bacterial small subunit ribosomal RNA". The record is from RNAcentral.
GACGAACGCUGGCGGCGUGCUUAACACAUGCAAGUCGAACGGAAAGGCCCUGCUUUUGUGGGGUGCUCGAGUGGCGAACGGGUGAGUAACACGUGAGUAACCUGCCCUUGACUUUGGGAUAACUUCAGGAAACUGGGGCUAAUACCGGAUAGGAGCUCCUGCUGCAUGGUGGGGGUUGGAAAGUUUCGGCGGUUGGGGAUGGACUCGCGGCUUAUCAGCUUGUUGGUGGGGUAGUGGCUUACCAAGGCUUUGACGGGUAGCCGGCCUGAGAGGGUGACCGGCCACAUUGGGACUGAGAUACGGCCCAGACUCCUACGGGAGGCAGCAGUGGGGAAUAUUGCACAAUGGGCGGAAGCCUGAUGCAGCAACGCCGCGUGCGGGAUGACGGCCUUCGGGUUGUAAACCGCUUUCGCCUGUGACGAAGCGUGAGUGACGGUAAUGGGUAAAGAAGCACCGGCUAACUACGUGCCAGCAGCCGCGGUGAUACGUAGGGUGCGAGCGUUGUCCGGAUUUAUUGGGCGUAAAGGGCUCGUAGGUGGUUGAUCGCGUCGGAAGUGUAAUCUUGGGGCUUAACCCUGAGCGUGCUUUCGAUACGGGUUGACUUGAGGAAGGUAGGGGAGAAUGGAAUUCCUGGUGGAGCGGUGGAAUGCGCAGAUAUCAGGAGGAACACCAGUGGCGAAGGCGGUUCUCUGGGCCUUUCCUGACGCUGAGGAGCGAAAGCGUGGGGAGCGAACAGGCUUACAUACCCUGGUAGUCCACGCUGUAAACGGUGGGUACUAGGUGUGGGGUCCAUUCCACGGGUUCCGUGCCGUAGCUAACGCUUUAAGUACCCCGCCUGGGGAGUACGGCCGCAAGGCUAAAACUCAAAGGAAUUGACGGGGCCCCGCACAAGCGGCGGAGCAUGCGGAUUAAUUCGAUGCAACGCGUAGAACCUUACCUGGGUUUGACAUGGAUCGGGAGUGCUCAGAGAUGGGUGUGCCUCUUUUGGGGUCGGUUCACAGGUGGUGCAUGGCUGUCGUCAGCUCGUGUCGUGAGAUGUUGGGUUAAGUCCCGCAACGAGCGCAACCCUUGUUCACUGUUGCCAGCACGUUAUGGUGGGGACUCAGUGGAGACCGCCGGGGUCAACUCGGAGGAAGGUGGGGAUGACGUCAAGUCAUCAUGCCCCUUAUGUCCAGGGCUUCACGCAUGCUACAAUGGCUGGUACAGAGAGUGGCGAGCCUGUGAGGGUGAGCGAAUCUCGGAAAGCCGGUCUCAGUUCGGAUUGGGGUCUGCAACUCGACCUCAUGAAGUCGGAGUCGCUAGUAAUCGCAGAUCAGCAACGCUGCGGUGAAUACGUUCCCGGGGCUUGUACACACCGCCCGUCAAGUCAUGAAAGUUGGUAACACCCGAAGCCGGUGGCCUAACCGUUGUGGGGGAGCCGUCGAAGGUGGG